Molecule: long non-coding RNA, 451 nt
Filed under: Olea europaea (common olive)
Lineage: Eukaryota; Viridiplantae; Streptophyta; Magnoliopsida; Lamiales; Oleaceae
Description: long non-coding RNA (OEUR_LNC002438)
Source: RNAcentral
GAUGGGAUGGAACAUUUCUGGUGCAUUUGAAAAACCACGACUGUUCUGCCUGGAGCAUGCAAUUGAAAUUGAAGGGCUGUUGAGUACAAAAGGUGGAGCCAAGGUUCUCGUGAUUUGUCAUUCAGGUAACAGUCAGCUUACUGUCUUGUCCAUCAGAAUGAUAAAUGAAAAGUUAAAAAAAAAAAAUUAUCUUACCUUAAAUUUUCAGCACUUCUGCCCCGAUUAUUUUCUUUGACUUCUGCUGAACUUGGUUGGAAACCAGAAGAAUGCAUGGAACCAUCAGAAAUUGUGUUUAAUUGUCGUGAAGUCUCACAACAAUGAUACUUGAACUUCAUGCGAUCAAAUUUAAUUAAAAUAAAGAAGUUAUAUGUUGCGUUGUUCCAUUCCUUUUUAAUAUUUUUUGCAACUUAAUUGUACUAUGAUCCACUUUUUCUGAUUUUUUUUUUUUUUU